UUUUUUUUGUACGUCGGAACGUGUGUAGCAAUCUUUUCUUUUUCCUCUUCUUCGUCUAUCGUCUCGUUCCCCGUAUUGAUCUCGAUUCUCGUAUUUAUAAUGGGAGGGGUGGUGAGAGAUAUUUUGAGGGAUUCAAAAUUCGAAAUUAAAUUUUGAAUAGUUUGUUGUGGUUGGUCGAAAGAUAUUUGGGAUUGGUUGGAAAUUCAAAAUUCGAAAUCAAAUUUUGAAUGGGUUGUUAGAUGGUUGGAAGAUAUUUUGGGAAUUGAUUCGAAAUUCGAAAUCGAAUUUUGAAUAGGUUGUGGAAAAUAUUUUGGGAGUUAGUUGGAAAUUUAAAAUUCGAAAUUGAAUUUUGAAUGGGUUGUUGGAUGGUUGGAAGAUAUUUUGGGAAUUGGUUAGGAAUUCGAAAUUCGAAAUCGAAUUUUGAAUAGGUUGGGGGGUGGUUGGAAGAUAUUUUGGGAGUUGGUUGGAAAUUCGAAAUUUGAAAUCAAAUUUUGAAUGUGUUGUUGGAUGGUUGGAGGGUAUUUUGGAAAUUGGUUAGGAAUUCGAAAUUCGAAAUCGAAUUUUGAAUGGGUUGUUGGAUGGUUGGAGGGUAUUUUGGGAAUUGGUUGGGAAUUCGAAAUUCGAAAUCGAAUUUUGAAUGGGUUGUUGGAUGGUUGGAGGGUAUUUUGGGAAUUGGUUGGGAAUUCGAAAUUCGAAAUCGAAUUUUGAAUGGGUUGUUGGAUGGUUGGAGGAUAUUUUAGAAAUUGGUUGGGAAUUCGAAAUUGAAUUUUGAAUGGGUUGUUGGAGGAUAAUUUGGGAAUUAGUUGAGAAUUCCAAAUUCGAAAUCGAAUUUUGAAUGGGUUGUGAUUUGAAAUCGAAUUUCGAACAGAUAUUUUAUAGGAUGUGGAUGUGAGCCGUCGUUGAUCAGGCCCACUUUAAUUUAUUGGGUCCAAAUGAUAAUAUUUAAUGGGCUGGAAUGAGGCCCCCUUUUAUUUAUUUGCAUGGGCUUUCAUAAGGCCCACCAACUCACAUUUAUGAAUAAGCCUAUUGAAUAUUUGAACUAUAAUUAUUGGCCCAAAAAUUUAAUGGUUAACACGAGACCUAUUUGGAUUAUAUGAACUCGAAUCUAAUCGUUUUUUUAUUAUGAUUAGGAUUGUUUCAUCCUAUAUAAGUAUUAUUUUACUGCAAACACCAAGCUUUCACUUGGUCGAAUAUGUG
This 1197-nucleotide long non-coding RNA is filed under the name Ananas comosus (pineapple). RNAcentral describes it as "long non-coding RNA (ACOM_LNC010533)". Lineage: Eukaryota; Viridiplantae; Streptophyta; Magnoliopsida; Poales; Bromeliaceae. The record is from RNAcentral.